AUAGUACCUUCUCAAAGAUAUCGCUUGAAUACCUUCUUCGCUUUUGCGAAGAAGCAAAGCUCUCACAAAGGGGAAUCACUACUCAUACUGAUAUGUAAUUGAUCUGUCAAAUCGUCUAACUUCUCAAUGUUUACGUUCGGCGCUAAAACAACGGUCCGCGAAACCGCGUUUACAACGUUUACCGCGACGACGAAACGAACCAAGAUUGUGUUCGAUACCGAAAUGUUUCCGCGAUUUACAGGUGCGUGAUCGAAUUUUAAUCAUUUGCCGGUCUGCUUCCAUCGAACUGUUCGGAGGAUCGGCCCGACGAAGAACUUUCAGCGCGAAUGUUCAAUUAGGAUGUUUCCAAGUGAGGUUUCAGCAACAUUCGUGCUUUGUUUUCGCCCGCGUCCGGACGGAUGAAUGAUUCUACUUUGAUCGUUCACCGAAUAUGCUGCCUGCGAUGGGAAGUAAAAACCGCCAACUCGUUCUUCGAGUUGGUCCCGAUCGAGGGUGGGGAGGAUACAGCAGAGCACAUCAACAACCUGCCGUUGAGGCUGGGAAAUGUCCGCUCAAAACAGCCCAAAUUAAUUAAUUAUCCUCAGGAAUUAGACCCGAGAAAGUGAAGUGUAUUACUCUCGCUGAUUUAUUCAGGAGAAAAGUGAAUAAAGAAUUCUGUUUGUGUGUUUACAUUUUUUUGGAAAAGAGUUUCCAAACAGUAAAUGGGUGGUAGUGCCUCGGAUGUUUACAAUCAUUAUGCGUGAUAAUGAAUUGUGUUUUAAAUCAUUACUUCGGUUACUGAGGCGAGGGAUUGGAAAUUAUCGUUUCUAGCGAAUUCGCGUUGUUUCACGGACUUGUAUUCGAGUUUGUAUAUUUCGCGGAGGAAUUUUGGCUAGUGCGCGGUGCUUUUUCUGGUGGAAUUAUACGGAAUUCCGUACCAACGACCACGAUGGCCGCAUAUCUGGAUUUUAUUUCUCGGAAGUCGAUCGAUUCGACAUCUCUUUGGAUUUCACUUCGAUAGUGUUUCUCAACGAGUCUGAUACGGGUCAGCAAAACUUAUUGAUUAAUUGCAUGAAAUCAAUUAAAAUUUGAUAUUCUACGCGACGAUUGCAAUCAAUCGAAUUGAAUUAAAAAGGAAAAAACUAAACGACGGUUCACACGCAUUUGAAUACCUAUAAUUUGUUCUCGCGUUUCCUAAUAAUUUGUUAUUCUAGGGGUGGCUUCAGCCAGGUGAGGAUAAAGAAUCCAAAUUUGGCUAUCAGAAUUCUAUCAAGUUUCUUCGUUAGGAGAACGAAGCUAGUUAAUUAAAAAUAGGGCACUAUUUUUCUCGCCCUCCCCAGGGGAAAAUGAAAGAUUCAAGUCAUUUUUAGGUGGGCGCCAAUUGAAACUUGCCUGCUCAGGGAUUAAGGAUCUCGGGGUCGUUUUAUGCGGACUUAUCUCUCAAUUCCGUAGCUGAGGACUGUCGUAUCAAGCAGGAGCACAAUAUUUAUUGUCUUACCCAAUGGUGUUUCACUAAAUGAUGCUCAUAGCUGUAGAUAACAUGAAAAACAUUGAAAUCUA
Molecule: long non-coding RNA, 1539 nt
Organism: Armigeres subalbatus
Lineage: Eukaryota; Metazoa; Arthropoda; Insecta; Diptera; Culicidae
Exons: 3
Source: RefSeq, a predicted model, not a curated record